RNAcentral lists this ribosomal RNA (301 nucleotides) under uncultured bacterium. RNAcentral's name for it is "partial 16S ribosomal RNA". It matches the Rfam family "Bacterial small subunit ribosomal RNA", at positions 509 to 809 of the family's 1533-position model. The record is from RNAcentral.
CAGCCGCCGCGGUAAUACGAAGGGUGCAAGCGUUACUCGGAAUUACUGGGCGUAAAGCGUGCGUAGGUGGUGGUUUAAGUCCGUUGUGAAAGCCCUGGGCUCAACCUGGGAAUUGCAGUGGAUACUGGGCAACUAGAGUAAGGUAGAGGAUAGUGGAAUUUCCGGUGUAGCAGUGAAAUGCGUAGAGAUCGGAAGGAACAUCUGUGGCGAAGGCGACUAUCUGGGCCAUUACUGACACUGAGGCACGAAAGCGUGGGGAGCAAACAGGAUUAGAUACCCCAGUAGUCCCUGUCUCUUAUAA